GAUGAACGCUGGCGGCGUGCCUAAUACAUGCAAGUCGAGCGAACAGACGAGGAGCUUGCUCCUCUGACGUUAGCGGCGGACGGGUGAGUAACACGUGGAUAACCUACCUAUAAGACUGGGAUAACUUCGGGAAACCGGAGCUAAUACCGGAUAAUAUAUUGAACCGCAUGGUUCAAUAGUGAAAGACGGUUUUGCUGUCACUUAUAGAUGGAUCCGCGCCGCAUUAGCUAGUUGGUAAGGUAACGGCUUACCAAGGCAACGAUGCGUAGCCGACCUGAGAGGGUGAUCGGCCACACUGGAACUGAGACACGGUCCAGACUCCUACGGGAGGCAGCAGUAGGGAAUCUUCCGCAAUGGGCGAAAGCUUGACGGAGCAUCGCCGCGUGAGUGAUGAAGGUCUUCGGAUCGUAAAACUCUGUUAUUAGGGAAGAACAAAUGUGUAAGUAACUAUGCACGUCUUGACGGUACCUAAUCAGAAAGCCACGGCUAACUACGUG
Molecule: ribosomal RNA, 497 nt
Filed under: uncultured bacterium
Lineage: Bacteria
Description: partial 16S ribosomal RNA
Rfam family: Bacterial small subunit ribosomal RNA
Source: RNAcentral